AUGGCUAACGCUCUGUGGGCAGAAGUCUGUGAGAAAUUCGAGGCGGCGCUGGCGCUCUCACGGGUAGAGUUGCAUAAAAACCCAGAGAAGGAACCGUACAAGUCCAAAUACAGCGCCGAGCGCUGCUGGAAGAGGUAAAGGCGCUGCUCGGCCCCGCGCCUGAGGAUGAGGAUGAGCGGCCUGAGGCCGACGACGGCUUGGGUGCAGAAGACCACACCCUGGCUCUGCCAGCGGAAGUGGUGGAGGCCGAGGGGCCCAUCGCCCGGCGGGCGGUGAGGCUGGCGGUUAUUGAGUUCAACCUCGGGGUGAACCACAUCGACACUGAGGAGCUGUCAGCGGGGGAGGAGCAUCUGGUGAAAUGCCUGAAGCUGCUGCGCAGGUACCGGCUCUCGCACGACUGCGUCUCCCUCUACAUCCAGGCGCAGAAUAAUCUAGGUAUCUUGUGGUCUGAAAGAGAAGAAAUUGAAACUGCACAAGCUUACUUAGAAUCAUCAGAAGCACUAUAUAAUAGGUAUAUGAAAGAGAUUGGAAGUCCUCCUCUUGAUCCUACAGAGCAUUUUCUUCCUGAAGAAGAAAAACUUACUGAGCAAGAGAGAUCAAAAAGAUUUGAGAAGGUUUACACUCAUAACCUAUAUUAUCUGGCUCAAGUCUACCAGCAUAUGGAAAUGUUUGAAAAGGCUGCCCAUUAUUGCCACAGUACACUAAAACGCCAGCUUGAGCACAGUGCCUACCAUCCUUUAGAGUGGGCUAUUAAUGCUGCCACCUUAUCACAAUUUUACAUCAAUAAGCUAUGCUUUAUGGAGGCCAGGCACUGUUUAUCAGCUGCUAAUGUCAUUUUUGGUCAAACAGGAAAGGUGUCAGCUACAGAAGACACUCCUGAAGCUGAAGGAGAUAUACCAGAACUUUAUCAUCAAAGGAAAGGGGAAAUAGCAAGAUGUUGGAUCAAAUACUGUUUGACUCUUAUGCAGAAUGCCCAACUCGCUAUGCAGGACAACAUAGGAGAGCUUGAUCUUGAUAAACAGUCUGAACUUAGAGCUUUAAGGAAAAAAGAACUAGAUGAGGAAGAAAACAUUAGGAAAAAAGCUGUGCAGUUUGGAACUGGUGAACUGUGUGAUGCCAUCUCUGCAAUAGAAGAGAAAGUGAGCUAUUUGAGACCUUUAGAUUUUGAAGAAGCCAGAGAACUUUUCUUGUUGGGUCAGCAUUAUGUCUUUGAGGCAAAAGAGUUCUUUCAGAUUGAUGGUUAUGUCACUGACCAUAUUGAAGUUGUCCAAGACCACAGUGCUCUAUUUAAGGUGCUUGCAUUCUUUGAAACUGACAUGGAGAGACGGUGCAAGAUGCAUAAACGCAGAAUAGCCAUGCUAGAGCCCCUAAUUGUAGACCUGAAUCCGCAGUAUUACCUGUUGGUCAAUAGACAGAUUCAGUUUGAAAUUGCACACGCAUACUAUGAUAUGAUGGAUUUGAAGGUUGCCAUUGCUGACAAGCUAAGGGAUCCCGAUUCACACAUCAUUAAAAAAAUAAAUAAUCUUAAUAAGUCAGCAUUGAAAUACUACCAGCUUUUCUUAGACUCCCUGAGAGAUCCAAAUAAAGUGUUUCCUGAGCAUAUAGGGGAGGAUGUUCUCCGUCCUGCCAUGUUAGCUAAGUUUCGAGUUGCCCGUCUCUAUGGCAAAAUAAUUACUGCAGAUCCCAAGAAAGAAUUAGAAAAUUUGGCAACCUCAUUGGAACAUUACAAAUUUAUUGUCGAUUACUGUGAAAAGCACCCUGAAGCUGCCCAGGAAAUAGAAGUUGAACUAGAACUUAGUAAAGAGAUGGUUAGUCUUCUCCCAACAAAAAUGGAGAGAUUCAGAACCAAGAUGGCCCUGACUUAAUCUUUGUUUUGAAAGAAUGAAAAUGUACAAUAUGGAAAUGAUUUUUUUUUCUUAGUCAAACAGGUCCUGUUCCACUGUAAUAUUUACCUGUAUAGCUAGAGGAUUGCAGUUUGAGCUUGAGACACAGUCAGAUAAACUGAGUCUUUCCUAGGAUUUUAAUCAACAUAAUGUUAAUAAUUGAUACCUAAUUAUGUAAAUUGCCUUGUAAAUGUGAAACAUGAUUUGUAGUUUGGAUUGCUUGUUUCCUAUUUCAGCUUUUCUUGCCUCAGUUUCUAAAUGUAGAUUCUUUGUUGGCUAGUACUUGAUAGAUUCCUAACAAAGAAAAAUGCUGGGUAAUGUACCUUGUAGACAAGACUGUUACUAUAUUAAAAUUGAAAAAAUAACUUCAUAUAGUUAUUCUUUCUAAAUAUUUGCUUUCCUAAAUUCCUAAAGAAAUCUUUCCCUUUUGAGAAUAGUAAAAACUAAGUUAUUUUGUUGUAUUGUGUUAUAAAUGGGGGGAAAAGGCCUUGCUGGAAGUACAAUAAAUUGACUCGUCUCACUAAUAAAAACUUCCAUUUCCCCUUUUUGUCUUACAAGAAUUGGUUUGUUUUUUGUUUUUUUUUUUUUUUUUGAGACAACCUCAAGCUGUCGCCCUGGGUGGAGUGCUGUGGCAUCACAGCUCACAGCAACUUCCAACUCCUGGGCUCAAGAGAUUCUCCUGCCUUUGCCUCCCAAGUAGUUGGGAUUACAGGCACCCACCACAACGCCAGGCUAUUUAUUGUUGUUGUUGUUGUUGUUGUUGCAGCCAUCAUUGUUUGGUGGGCCCGGGCUGGAUUUGAACCCGCCAGCUCAGGUGUAUGUGUCUGGUGCCUUAGCUGCUUGAGCCACAGGCGCUGAGCCAAGAAUUGGUUUUAUUUUUGAUGUUCCAAAAGUAUUAGGUACUUAAAGUCAGAGAAGAAUAUUUCUUCAAUAAUAUUGCAC
RNA transcript from Nycticebus coucang (slow loris), 2825 nucleotides. It is a transcript of the gene named KIF-binding protein-like, with no coding region annotated. The record is from RefSeq and is a predicted model, not a curated record. The transcript has a single exon. Lineage: Eukaryota; Metazoa; Chordata; Mammalia; Primates; Lorisidae.